This 214-nucleotide ribosomal RNA is filed under the name uncultured bacterium. Its description in RNAcentral is "partial 16S ribosomal RNA". It matches the Rfam family "Bacterial small subunit ribosomal RNA", at positions 335 to 546 of the family's 1533-position model. The record is from RNAcentral.
ACUCCUACGGGAGGCAGCAGUGGGGAAUAUUGGACAAUGCUCGCAAGAGUGAUCCAGCCAUUCCGCGUGCAGGAUGACUGCCCUAUGGGUUGUAAACUGCUUUUAGAUGGGAAGAAAGUGCGACAUUUAAUGUUGUUUGACGGUACCAUCAGAAUAAGGACCGGCUAACUCCGUGCCAGCAGCCGCGGUAAUACGGAGGGUCCAAGCGUUAUCC